Molecule: ribosomal RNA, 233 nt
Filed under: uncultured bacterium
Lineage: Bacteria
Description: partial 16S ribosomal RNA
Rfam family: Bacterial small subunit ribosomal RNA
Source: RNAcentral
UGCCUGGUAGCGGGGGAUAACUAUUGGAAACGAUAGCUAAUACCGCAUAACAGUAGAUAUCGCAUGAUAGCUGCUUGAAAGGUGCAAUUGCACCACUACCAGAUGGACCUGCGUUGUAUUAGCUAGUUGGUGAGGUAACGGCUCACCAAGGCCACGAUACAUAGCCGACCUGAGAGGGUGAUCGGCCACACUGGGACUGAGACACGGCCCAGACUCCUACGGGAGGCAGCAUG